Molecule: long non-coding RNA, 3236 nt
Filed under: Salmo salar (Atlantic salmon)
Lineage: Eukaryota; Metazoa; Chordata; Actinopteri; Salmoniformes; Salmonidae
Description: lncRNA (ENSSSAG00000089683.1, ENSSSAG00000107566.1)
Source: RNAcentral
CAAUCCAUAUUGUUGUUGAUUUUAAUAAUAUUCUUCUUAUUAUUAUUGUCAUAUUGUGGAAAUAUUCCAUUGAAGGAAUUCAUGUUAUUUUAAUGCAAAAAAAAAUCUGUAAUUUGAGUGCUGCAAGCAGAAAGGCUGAGGUCUAUCUUCAUACUCGAUAACUGUAUGCAAUCAUAUUGUAGCUCUUUGACAUCUUAUCCUUUUAUGACCAAAUACACACCGUGUUAAACCCACUAUGCCACCAAGAAUGACCUUCAUGUAUUCAUUGAUUUUUCUUCUGUUUUUUGCUGUUGCUCAAAAUCGUGGAGAAACGUAGCUGACAACAAAAAAAAAAAAACAUACUUGAAUCUAUUCAGUAAAUCAAAUUAAUAAAUACAUUUUACUGUAGUAGUCGGAAAAGCGACACGAUUUUUUUGUUAGAAUUUUAACUUUGUUAUCAGAAUGACUUGUUUCUCCACAGUGGUAAUAGUAAUGACCUGGUGGUAUUACCAUUACAUGUGUGUCUUAAUGAGCAGGUCGGAUUUAUCCUAGCCUAGAGGUCAGACGGCUAAGGAAGUUAUCAUUCUCUGAAUCUCAAACCAACCCCUAGGCCUAGGGGAUAGGGUUAGGGGAUAAGGAUAGGGAAUAAGGAUGGGGGAUAAGGAUAGGGGAUAGGGCUAGGGGAUAAGGAUAGGGAAUAAGGAUAGGGGAUAAGGAUAGGGGAUAGGGCUAGGGGAUAAGGAUAGGGGAUAAGGAUAGGGGAUAAGGAUAGGGGAUAGGGCUAGGGGAUAAGGAUAGGGAAUAAGGAUAGGGGAUAAGGAUAGGGGAUAGGGCUAGGGGAUAAGGAUAGGGAAUAAGGAUAGGGGAUAAGGCUAGGGGAUAAGGAUAGGGGAUAAGGAUAGGGGAUAGGGCUAGGGGAUAAGGAUAGGGGAUAGGGCUAGGGGAUAAGGAUAGGGGAUAAGGAUAGGGCUAGGGGAUAGGACUAGUGGACAUGGGAUAGGGGUUAGGGCAAGAGGAUAGGGCUAGGGAAUAGGACUAGGGGCUAGGGGAUAGGGGAUAGGACUAGGGGAUAGGGGUUAGGGCUAGGGCAUAGGGGUUAGGGCUAGGGGAUAGGACUAGGGGAUGGGGAUAGGGGUUAGGGGAUAUGGUUAGGGGAUAUGGUUAGGGAGUAGGGCUAGGGGUUAGGACUGGGGAUAGGGGUUAGGACUAGGGGAUAGGGGUUAGGACUAGGGGAUAGGGGUUAGGACUAGGGGAUAGGGGUUAGGGCUAGGGCAUAGGGGUUAGGGCUAGGGGAUAGGGGAUAGGGUUAGGGUUAGAGGAUAGGGGUUAGGGCUAGAGGAUAGGACUUGUGGACAGGGCUAGGGAAUAGGGCUUGGGGGUAGGGGUUAGGGCUAGAGGAUAGGGCUGGGGAAUAGGACUAGGGGCUAGGGGAUAGGGGAUAGGACUAGGGGAUAUGGGUUAAGGCUAGAGGAUAUGGGUUAGGGCUAGGGGAUAGGACUAGGGGAUAGGGCUUGGGGAUAGGGGUUAGGGGAUAUGGUUAGGGAGUAGGGCUAGGGGUUAGGACUGGGGAUAGGGGUUAGGACUAGGGGAUAGGGGUUAGGGCUAGGGGAUAGGGGUUAGGGCUAGGGGAUAGGGGUUAGGGCUAGGGGAUAGGGGUUAGGACUAGGGGAUAGGGGUUAGGACUAGGGGAUAGGGGUUAGGGCUAGAGGAUAGGGGUUAGGGCUAGGGGAUAGGGGUUAGGGCUAGAGGAUAGGGGUUAGGGCUAGGGGUUAGGGCUAGGGGAUAGGGGAUAGGGAUAUGGAUAGGGGGUAGGGAUAGGGGAUAGGAAUAGUAGACCUAGGACCCCCUGCCAUGAUCAGAGAUCAGAUACUAUGUCCCCAAUGGCACCUUAUUCCCUAUAUAGUGCACUACUUUUGACCAGUGGUGCACUAUAUAAAGGGAAUAGGGUUCUAUAGGGCCCUGGUCAUAAGUAGUGCACUAUAUAGGGAAUAGGGUUCCAUAGGGCUCUGGUCUAAAGUAGUGCACUAUAUAAAGGGAAUAGGGUUCUAUAGGGCCCUGGUCAUAAGUAGUGCACUAUAUAGGGAAUAGGGUUCCAUAGGGUUUUGGUCUAAAGUAGUGCACUAUAUAGGGAAUAGGGUUCUAUAGGGCCCUGGUCUAAAGUAGUGCACUAUAUAGGGAAUAGGGUUCCAUAGGGUUUUGGUCUAAAGUAGUGCACUAUAUAGGGAAUAGGGUGCCAUUUGGAAGGCAGAGAGACAAAAGGCCUGUUGUAUGUGAUCAUAGCUUUAAGUUAUUUUAUUCAUGUUGUUUAUUCCUCAAACAUUCCAACUGCCAACUCAUCUCGUAUGAUAAUAUCAUUGUUGUUACAAAUGCUUGUUAUUAUUGUGUUUUUGUUAUUGUUGUUUUGUUAUUGUUUACCCUUUUUGUUCUAUGAUUUUCCUUGUCUUUACGGUUUUAAUCUUGAACAUGUUGAACAAUGAAGUAAUUUUCAUUUUAUUUGAUCAGCUGUGAAUUUGUACUGACUGUGUCGAUCUGGUCGAUUUGGUUGUGUGUGUGUGUGUGUGUGUGUGUGUGUGUGUGUGUGUGUGUGUGUGUGUGUGUGUGUGUGUGGUUUGGCUGUGAUGUAAUGCUGUAGUUAGUAAUAACAUAGUCAUAGGUUAGCUAGUUAGUUAGUGUGACACCUUGUCAGUCCCUCUCUCUCUCUCCUUUCUCUUCUUCUAUAAAUCACACGCCUCCAUCACCUGUUCGUCUGCGUCAUGUGUAAUCUCAGGGGGCGGGCGAGGAGGACUGAUCUAUCCUAACACCAAAAAAAAUACAAUUAUAAAAGCACAAAUAAAGAUUAGUCACAAUAUCACAGAAAAAAAACCUUCCUAUGACUGAAGCACUAGACAACACAGUCAAUAGGGGGGGGGUUCCACUGAAAGAACCUCGCUGUUGGAACAGUAGAAUGAGAACACCUUGUUCUAAGAGGAUCACAACGUUCUAUAGCUACCAUGUCCCUGUACUGAAUACCACCUUGCUACAUAGUCUAAAGAACAUGUUGAAUCCGAGAAUGUAACUUAUAUAAAUACUAUGACGUCUGUAAAACGAAGACAACAACAACAGAAUAUAUGAUAACCAGCCAGUCAAAACAUAGGAAACACAAAUACACAGCAGUUAGACACUAGUUAGUCAUCACACCUGUACACCUGCUUCUGAAAUGGCACCCUAUUCCCUAUAAAGUACACUAGCUUUGGCCAGUAUGGCACCCUAUUCCCUAU